GAUGAACGCUGGCGGCGUGCCUAAUACAUGCAAGUCGAGCGAACAGACGAGGAGCUUGCUCCACUGACGUUAGCGGCGGAUGGGUGAGUAACACGUGGAUAACCUACCUAUAAGACUGGGAUAACUUCGGGAAACCGGAGCUAAUACCGGAUAAUAUAUUGAACCGCAUGGUUCAAUAGUGAAAGACGGUUUUGCGGUCAAUUAUAGAUGGAUCCGCGCCGCAUUAGCUAGUUGGUAAGGUAACGGCUUACCAAGGCAACGAUGCGUAGCCGACCUGAGAGGGUGAUCGGCCACACUGGAACUGAGACACGGUCCAGACUCCUACGGGAGGCAGCAGUAGGGAAUCUUCCGCAAUGGGCGAAAGCCUGACGGAGCAACGCCGCGUGAGUGAUGAAGGUCUUCGGAUCGUAAAACUCUGCUAUUAGGGAAGAACAAAUGUGUAAGUAACUAUGCACGUCUUGACGGUACCUAAUCAGAAGGCCACGGCUAACUACGUG
RNAcentral lists this ribosomal RNA (497 nucleotides) under uncultured bacterium. RNAcentral describes it as "partial 16S ribosomal RNA". It matches the Rfam family "Bacterial small subunit ribosomal RNA", at positions 28 to 507 of the family's 1533-position model. The record is from RNAcentral.